Molecule: transfer RNA, 67 nt
Filed under: Marmota monax (woodchuck)
Lineage: Eukaryota; Metazoa; Chordata; Mammalia; Rodentia; Sciuridae
Description: tRNA.Ala
Rfam family: tRNA
About the family: Transfer RNA (tRNA) molecules are approximately 80 nucleotides in length. Their secondary structure includes four short double-helical elements and three loops (D, anti-codon, and T loops).
Source: RNAcentral
GGUUGUAGCUCAGUGGUAGAGUACUUACUUUGCAUGUGUGAGAUACUGGGUUCAAUCCUCAGAACCA